CUGAGUACGGCGGAACACGUGAAAUUCCGUCGGAAUCCGGGAGGACCAUCUCCCAAGGCUAAAUACUCCCUAGUGACCGAUAGUGAACCAGUACCGUGAGGGAAAGGUGAAAAGCACCCCGGAAGGGGAGUGAAACAGUUCCUGAAACCGUGUGCCUACAAGUAGUUAGAGCCCGUUAAUGGGUGAUAGCGUGCCUUUUGUAGAAUGAACCGGCGAGUUACGAUUUGUUGCAAGGUUAAGCGGAAAAAGCGGAGCCGUAGCGAAAGCGAGUCUGAAUAGGGCGCAUAAGUAACAGGUCGUAGACCCGAAACCAGGUGAUCUACCCAUGUCCAGGAUGAAGGUAAGGUAAUACUUACUGGAGGUCCGAACCCACGCACGUUGAAAAGUGCGGGGAUGAGGUGUGGGUAGCGGAGAAAUUCCAAUCGAACUUGGAGAUAGCUGGUUCUCUCCGAAAUAGCUUUAGGGCUAGCCUCGAGGUAAAGAGUCAUGGAGGUAGAGCACUGUUUGGACUAGGGGCCCUUCUCGGGUUACCGAAUUCAGAUAAACUCCGAAUGCCAUGUACUUAUACUCGGGAGUCAGACUGCGAGUGAUAAGAUCCGUAGUCGAAAGGGAAACAGCCCAGACCACCAGUUAAGGUCCCCAAAUAUAUGUUAAGUGGAAAAGGAUGUGGGGUUGCUUAGACAACCAGGAUGUUGGCUUAGAAGCAGCCACCAUUGAAAGAGUGCGUAAUAGCUCACUGGUCGAGUGACCCCGCGCCGAAAAUGUACCGGGGCUAAACAUAUUACCGAAACUGUGGAUGAACCUCUUUAGAGGUUCGUGGUAGGAGAGCGUUCUAAGGGCGGUGAAGUCAGACCGGAAGGACUGGUGGAGCGCUUAGAAGUGAGAAUGCCGGUAUGAGUAGCGAAAGAAGGGUGAGAAUCCCUUCCACCGAAUAUCUAAGGUUUCCUGAGGAAGGCUCGUCCGCUCAGGGUUAGUCGGGACCUAAGCCGAGGCCGAUAGGCGUAGGCGAUGGACAACAGGUAGAGAUUCCUGUACCAGUGCUAAUUGUUUAACCGAUGGGGUGACACAGAAGGAUAGGGAAUCGCACGAAUGGAAAUGUGCGUCCA
This 1106-nucleotide ribosomal RNA is filed under the name Listeria monocytogenes. Its description in RNAcentral is "partial 23S ribosomal RNA". It matches the Rfam family "Bacterial large subunit ribosomal RNA", at positions 408 to 1514 of the family's 2925-position model. Lineage: Bacteria; Bacillati; Bacillota; Bacilli; Caryophanales; Listeriaceae. The record is from RNAcentral.